This 266-nucleotide ribosomal RNA is filed under the name uncultured bacterium. RNAcentral's name for it is "partial 16S ribosomal RNA". It matches the Rfam family "Bacterial small subunit ribosomal RNA", at positions 88 to 354 of the family's 1533-position model. The record is from RNAcentral.
CCGGCGACCAGCGCACGGGUGAGUAACACGUAUGGAACCUGCCCGCAGCAGGGGGAUAAGCGGAAGAAAUUCCGUCUAAUACCGCGUAACAACGUUGGGAGGCAUCUCCCGAUGUUUAAAGAUUUAUCGGCUGCGGAUGGCCAUGCGGCGCAUUAGCUAGUCGGCGGGGUAACGGCCCACCGAGGCGACGAUGCGUAGGGGUUCUGAGAGGAAGGUCCCCCACACUGGUACUGAGACACGGACCAGACUCCUACGGAAGGCAGCAG